Lathyrus oleraceus (garden pea) is the source of this 679-nucleotide long non-coding RNA. RefSeq lists it as uncharacterized. The transcript is spliced from 2 exons. The record is from RefSeq and is a predicted model, not a curated record. NCBI's taxonomy places the organism in Eukaryota, Viridiplantae, Streptophyta, Magnoliopsida, Fabales, Fabaceae.
UACGUAUUCCACAAACCAAUCCUCGACGCCGGGUUACAACAAUAUCAAAGAAUCGGUUUAAACGCGAAGUGGAGAAAAGUCUUACCGAUUCUGACGUGGAUGCGCUUCGAUUCGUGCUCCCGCGGCUCCGAUUUCCUGCUCUUCCAAGAUUUCACCGAAUCGUGAUGAGGAAUCGACUGAGAUGUACUGAGUGCUCGCGUUGGUGUGGGUUUCGAGAAAACCAGGUGAAGUGAUGUUGAUGUUGAUUGAUUGAAAAAGGGGCGCUGUUAUUCAACGGGUUUUGGAAAAGUUCUGAAGAGGUGCUUUUGAAUUGGGAACUUCCAAAAGAGCUUUUGGAUUGUGUUUACCACUUAUUCCAAUUUUUUUAAUAAAAUUAUUUCUGAUGUAACAGAGACUUUUUGGAUUAUGAACUUAGGGACUGCUUGUAACAUGUACAAACUUAAUUUGAAAUUUCUCUUUUUGGACAGUUAUGUAAUUGUUUUGGAUUAUUAGGAAUUUGGGAUUAGUUAGGAUAUAUUAAACUGUAAGAAAAAUUGGGUUAGACAUGUAACCCUUUGGAUCAUUUGCAAAAUUUACAUAAUUUUAAUUUAAGUUUUUUUUGUUAUUUAUGUGGAUACUUUUGGGUUAUUAUGUAACAUUUCGAUUAAAUUGGAAUAUGAUUUGAAUAUCACUUGGAACA